AAUAGAUACCGGGUAGUCCAUGCCGUAAACGUUGGGAACUAGAUGUGGGGACCAUUCCACGGUUUCCGUGUCGCAGCUAACGCAUUAAGUUCCCCGCCUGGGGAGUACGGCCGCAAGGCUAAAACUCAAAGGAAUUGACGGGGGCCCGCACAAGCGGCGGAGCAUGCGGAUUAAUUCGAUGCAACGCGAAGAACCUUACCAAGGCUUGACAUAUACGAGAACGCUCUAGAAAUAGAGAACUCUUUGGACACUCGUAUACAGGUGGUGCAUGGUUGUCGUCAGCUCGUGUCGUGAGAUGUUGGGUUAAGUCCCGCAACGAGCGCAACCCUCGUCGUAUGUUGCCAGCACGUAAUGGUGGGAACUCAUAUGAGACUGCCGGGGUCAACUCGGAGGAAGGUGGGGAUGAGGUCAAAUCAUCAUGCCCCUUAUGUCCUGGGCUUCACGCAUGCUACAAUGGCCGGUACAAAGGGCUGCAAUACCGCAAGGUGGAGCGAAUCCCAAAAAGCCGGUCUCAGUUCGGAUUGAGGU
Molecule: ribosomal RNA, 528 nt
Filed under: uncultured bacterium
Lineage: Bacteria
Description: bacterial SSU rRNA
Rfam family: Bacterial small subunit ribosomal RNA
Source: RNAcentral